GCCCGCUUGGCUCAGUUGGUUAGAGCGCAGGUCUCAUAAUCCUGAGGUCGCAAGUUCGAACCUUGCAGCGGGCA
This 74-nucleotide transfer RNA is filed under the name Phlebopus portentosus. Its description in RNAcentral is "tRNA-Met (CAT) (tRNA-Met-CAT-1-1)". It matches the Rfam family "tRNA". Rfam says of the family: Transfer RNA (tRNA) molecules are approximately 80 nucleotides in length. Their secondary structure includes four short double-helical elements and three loops (D, anti-codon, and T loops). The record is from RNAcentral. Lineage: Eukaryota; Fungi; Basidiomycota; Agaricomycetes; Boletales; Boletinellaceae.